CCUACGUGUGGCAGCAGUGGGGAAUAUUGGACAAUGGGCGAAAGCCUGAUCCAGCCAUGCCGCGUGUGUGAAGAAGGCCUUCGGGUUGUAAAGCACUUUCAGUGGGGAAGAAAGCCUUGGGGCUACUACCCUCGAGGAAGGACAUCACCCACAGAAGAAGCACCGGCUAACUCCGUGCCAGCAGCCGCGGUAAUACGGAGGGUGCGAGCGUUAAUCGGAAUUACUGGGCGUAAAGCGCGCGUAGGCGGUCUGAUAAGCCGGUUGUGAAAGCCCCGGGCUCAACCUGGGAACGGCAUCCGGAACUGUCAGGCUAGAGUGCAGGAGAGGAAGGUAGAAUUCCCGGUGUAGCAGUGAAAUGCGUAGAGAUCGGGAGGAAUACCAGUGGCGAAGGCGGCCUUCUGGACUGACACUGACGCUGAGGUGCGAAAGCGUGGGUAGCAAACAGGAUUAGAUACCCCAGUAGUC
Molecule: ribosomal RNA, 465 nt
Filed under: Vreelandella stevensii
Lineage: Bacteria; Pseudomonadati; Pseudomonadota; Gammaproteobacteria; Oceanospirillales; Halomonadaceae
Description: partial 16S ribosomal RNA
Rfam family: Bacterial small subunit ribosomal RNA
Source: RNAcentral